This 366-nucleotide ribosomal RNA is filed under the name uncultured Desulfovibrio sp. RNAcentral describes it as "bacterial SSU rRNA". It matches the Rfam family "Bacterial small subunit ribosomal RNA", at positions 1016 to 1382 of the family's 1533-position model. The record is from RNAcentral. Lineage: Bacteria; Pseudomonadati; Thermodesulfobacteriota; Desulfovibrionia; Desulfovibrionales; Desulfovibrionaceae.
CCCUUCGGGGAAUUCCGAGACAGGUGCUGCAUGGCUGUCGUCAGCUCGCGCCGUGAGGUGUGGGUUAAGUCCCGCAACGAGCGCAACCCUAUUGCCAGUUGCUACCAGGUAAUGCUGGGCACUCUGGUGAGACUGCCCCGGUUAACGGGGAGGAAGGUGGGGACGACGUCAAGUCAUCAUGGCCCUUACGCCUAGGGCUACACACGUACUACAAUGGCGCAUACAAAGGGCAGCGAUACCGCGAGGUGGAGCCAAUCCCAAAAAGUGCGUCCCAGUCCGGAUUGCAGUCUGCAACUCGACUGCACGAAGUUGGAAUCGCUAGUAAUUCGAGAUCAGCAUGCUCGGGUGAAUGCGUUCCCGGGCCUU